This 433-nucleotide ribosomal RNA is filed under the name uncultured bacterium. RNAcentral describes it as "partial 16S ribosomal RNA". It matches the Rfam family "Bacterial small subunit ribosomal RNA", at positions 29 to 507 of the family's 1533-position model. The record is from RNAcentral.
AACGAACGCUGGCGGCAUGCCUAACACAUGCAAGUCGAACGAGACCUUCGGGUCUAGUGGUGCACGGGUGCGUAACGCGUGGGAACCUGCCCUUAGGUUCGGAAUAACUCCCCGAAAGGGGUGCUAAUACCGGAUAAUGUCUUCGGACCAAAGAUUUAUCGCCUUUGGAUGGGCCCGCGUUGGGUUAGCUAGUUGGUAGGGUAAAAGCCUACCAAGGCGACGAUCCAUAGCUGGUCUGAGAGGAUGAUCAGCCACACUGGGACUGAGACACGGCCCAGACUCCUACGGGAGGCAGCAGUGGGGAAUAUUGGACAAUGGGCGAAAGCCUGAUCCAGCAAUGCCGCGUGAGUGAUGAAGGCCUUAGGGUUGUAAAGCUCUUUUACCCGGGAUGAUAAUGACAGUACCGGGAGAAUAAGCUCCGGCUAACUCCGUG